CUGAACUUAAGCAUAUCAAUAAGCGGAGGAAAAGAAACCAACAGGGAUUGCCCCAGUAACGGCGAGUGAAGCGGCAACAGCUCAAAUUUGAAAUCUGCCCCAGGGCCCGAGUUGUAAUUUGCAGAGGAUGCUUUUGGCGAGGUGCCUUCCGAGUUCCCUGGAACGGGACGCCAUAGAGGGUGAGAGCCCCGUCUGGUUGGAUACCGAGCCUCUGUAAAGCUCCUUCGACGAGUCGAGUAGUUUGGGAAUGCUGCUCUAAAUGGGAGGUAUAUGUCUUCUAAAGCUAAAUACCGGCCAGAGACCGAUAGCGCACAAGUAGAGUGAUCGAAAGAUCAAAAGCACUUUGAAAAGAGGGUUAAACAGUACGUGAAAUUGUUGAAAGGGAAGCGCUUGUGACCAGACUUGGGGCCCGGUGAAUCAUCAGCGUUCUCGCUGGUGCACUUUGCCGGCCCAGGCCAGCAUCAGUUUGCCUCGGGGGAUAAAGGCUCUGGGAAUGUGGCUCCUCCGGGAGUGUUAUAGCCCGUUGCUCAAUGCCCUGGGGCGGACUGAGGUUCGCGCAUCUGCAAGGAUGCUGGCGUAAUGGUCAUCAGCGGCCCGUCUUGAAACACGGACCAAGGAGUCGUCUUCGUAUGCGAGUGUUCGGGUGUGGGGCCCCUACGCGGCCCUGAAAAGUGAAACGCUGGUGAGAGCUUCGGCGCAUCAUCGACCGAUCCUGAUGUUCUCGGAUGGAUUUGAGGUAAGAGCAUACGGGGCCGGACCCGAAAGAAGGUGAACUAUGCCUGUAUAGGGUGAAGCCAGAGGAAACUCUGGUGGAGGCUCGCAGCGGUUCUGACGUGCAAAUCGAUCGUCAAAUAUGGGCAUGGGGGCGAAAGACUAAUCGAACCUUCUAGUAGCUGGUUUCCGCCGAAGUUUCCCUCAGAUAGCAGUGUUGAUCUCAGUUUUAUGAGGUAAAGCGAAUGAUUAGGGACCAGGGGCGCUAUUAAAGCCUUCAUCCAUUCUCAAACUUUAAAUAUGUAAGAAGCUCUUGUUACUUAAUUGAACGUGGGCAUUCGAAUGUAUCAACACUAGUGGGCCAUUUUUGGUAAGCAGAACUGGCGAUGCGGGAUGAACCGAACGCGAGGUUAAGGUGCCAGGUAGACGCUCAUCAGACACCACAAAAGGUGUUAGUACAUCUUGACAGCAGGACGGUGGCCAUGGAAGUCGGAAUCCGCUAAGGACUGUGUAACAACUCACCUGCCGAAUGUACUAGCCCUGAAAAUGGAUGGGCCUCAAGCGUCUCACCCAUACCUCGCCCUCAGGGUAGAAACGAAGCCCUGAGGAGUAGGCGGACGUGGAGGUC
RNAcentral lists this ribosomal RNA (1339 nucleotides) under Conoideocrella luteorostrata. RNAcentral describes it as "eukaryotic LSU rRNA". It matches the Rfam family "Eukaryotic large subunit ribosomal RNA", at positions 28 to 1399 of the family's 3401-position model. The record is from RNAcentral. Lineage: Eukaryota; Fungi; Ascomycota; Sordariomycetes; Hypocreales; Clavicipitaceae.